Molecule: long non-coding RNA, 580 nt
Organism: Anastrepha ludens (Mexican fruit fly)
Lineage: Eukaryota; Metazoa; Arthropoda; Insecta; Diptera; Tephritidae
Exons: 2
Source: RefSeq, a predicted model, not a curated record
AGAGCAGAUAGCUUACGGUGCUCUUCACUGCAUGAAUUUCACAGUAAUCCCACAGUUGAUUGAAAGCAAAAGCAGAAACAAAAACACUAACCCCAUGCACCAAUCAUCUCUGUUAGAUGGCCAACAUGGAUUUGUUUACGUGGAUGUGUGUAUGUGUGUGUAUACAGGUACUCUUUUGCAAUGGCGGUUAAUAAAGAGCUCAUAAAAUACACAAGCAUGUAACAGUUGCCACUUUGUUACAAACAUAAGUGGUUAUUUGUGCUUCCAUUAAAUUAUUAAACUUUUUUAAGAGCGUGGUAACUUUGAACAGCCCUUGCAAAGCAAGUAGAUGUUUUAAAUCGAGCUAACGAGUUCAUGUCUGAAUCCAGUCUCCCGAACAAGAAUGGGCUCGAACAUUUCCAGAGGGUCUUUUAAUGAUAAAUAGAGCCUUGGGCAUAUCCAAAAGGCUUAAAAAAUGGUAUACAUUUUGACCUACCGGAGCAUUUGUUUUUGCAGCUAUGCACAGUAAAGGUGGCCUAAAUGAUCAUCCAUCUUCUAAAGAGUUCAAAUACUCGUAUAGGCUUCGAAAAUACAUUCAAGG